UACGAAGGGGGCUAGCGUUGCUCGGAAUCACUGGGCGUAAAGCGCACGUAGGCGGCUUUCUAAGUCAAGGGUGAAAUCCUGGAGCUCAACUCCAGAACUGCCUUUGAUACUGGGGAGCUCGAGUCCGGAAGAGGUGAGUGGAACUCCGAGUGUAGAGGUGAAAUUCGUAGAUAUUCGGAAGAACACCAGUGGCGAAGGCGGCUCACUGGUCCGGUACUGACGCUGAGGUGCGAAAGCGUGGGGAGCAAACAGG
RNAcentral lists this ribosomal RNA (253 nucleotides) under uncultured bacterium. RNAcentral describes it as "partial 16S ribosomal RNA". It matches the Rfam family "Bacterial small subunit ribosomal RNA", at positions 524 to 776 of the family's 1533-position model. The record is from RNAcentral.